This 1008-nucleotide ribosomal RNA is filed under the name Triticum aestivum (bread wheat). RNAcentral describes it as "partial small subunit ribosomal RNA". Lineage: Eukaryota; Viridiplantae; Streptophyta; Magnoliopsida; Poales; Poaceae. The record is from RNAcentral.
AUGGCGGCCGAGCCCGAGAUCUGCGUGCUCUCCAAUGGCAGGAUCACAGCGAACAUCGCCAGCUGGGGCGCCACUAUCACCUCCCUCCUCGUCCCCGACGCGCAAGGGGAUCUCGCGGAUGUCGUUCUUGGGUUCGACACACUGGAGCCGUACUUGAAAGGCAUGGCACCUUAUUUUGGUUGCAUAGUUGGCCGAGUUGCAAAUAGGAUCAAGAAUGGGAAGUUUGAUCUGAACGGAGUCGAGUAUUCAUUGCCUAUCAACAACGGGCCGAACAGCCUUCAUGGUGGAUUGAAGGGGUUUGACAAGGUUGUGUGGGAUGUUGUAGAGCGUAAAGAAGGCGAGUACCCAUCAAUAACCUUUCAAUAUGAGAGCAAAGAUGGUGAAGAAGGUUACCCUGGCGAUGUAACCGUCCGAGCAGUGUAUUCUCUUCCGGAGGCUACCACUCUAAGACUUGACAUGGAAGCUAUACCAGCUAACAAAGCCACUCCUAUCAGCUUGGCACAGCAUACUUACUGGAACCUUGCAGGCCACAACUCUGGCAGCAUCUUGGAUCAUUCGAUCCAGAUCUGGGCAAAACACGUUACUCCAGUCAAUGAAAACACGAUUCCUACCGGAGAAAUAAUGCCCGUCCAGGACACGCCUUUCGAUUUCACCACGGAGCACAGGAUUGGAGAGCGCAUCAACAAUGUUCCUGGAGGGUACGACCAUAACUAUGUGCUGGACUCUGGCGAUGAGAAGAAUGGCCUGAAGCACGCAGCCAAGCUAAAGGACCCAUCGAGCUCACGAACUCUGGACCUCUGGACCGAUGCGCCUGGCAUGCAGUUCUAUACUGCCAACUAUGUGAAUGGCAUCACAGGCAAAGGCGGAGCUGUUUACGGGAAGCAUGCCGGAGUAUGCUUGGAAACCCAGGGGUUCCCCAAUGCCAUCAACCAGCCCAAUUUCCCGUCUGUGGUGGUGCAGCCUGGUGCGAAGUAUAAGCACACCAUGUUGUUUGAGUUCUCGGCAUGA